AUCUUUGUCAGGUUUUGGUAUUAGGGUGAUGGUGGCCUCAUAGACUGAAACAGUGUCUAACUUCUAACUUGUGAAUAGGCCAAAAUCCAGUCCCAGACAUGACACCAUUGUAUUCCUAGCAGUUCCAGAGUGCUUGGCAUGAAGUAGGUGUUCAAUAUUUGUGAGCUGGAUGGAUGGACAGACAGAUGGACUUUCUCAGUUCUGCCAAGAUACUGCAGGGAUCAGACCUGAAGAGCCAACCGUGUUCUGGAUUCAUUUUGGGAUCAUGGCGGGAGACAGCUGAGAGAACAUGAACGUUAAUUUGAUCUGAAGUUUCUCUGGGCUUAUGUGUCUCAUUGGAGAGUAUUUUGAACAGCCAGCUUCUCUUCUGAAAUGUAAACCAUCUGACAGAGUGGUGAUAAUGAAAAAAAGUUGAGAAAAAUGGACUAGAUGAUUCAGAUGGAAGCAUAACGUUGACCACCAAUAGGCCCUCCUCUUGGGAAUAUAUGUUGACUCAGCAGAAGGAAAAAGAUCUCACACAUUGUCUGUGUCUUUGAAGUCAUGGAUGAAUGCACUGACAAUGAAAUUGCUCUUAACACCAUGUACUUUGGAUUUUUAUGU
Molecule: long non-coding RNA, 600 nt
Organism: Capra hircus (goat)
Lineage: Eukaryota; Metazoa; Chordata; Mammalia; Artiodactyla; Bovidae
Exons: 3
Source: RefSeq, a predicted model, not a curated record